GAUGAACGCUAGCUACAGGCUUAACACAUGCAAGUCGAGGGGCAGCGCAGUGUAGCAAUACAUGGGCGGCGACCGGCGCACGGGUGCGUAACGCGUAUCCAACCUUCCCGUUACUCAGGGAUAGCCUUCCGAAAGGGAGAUUAAUACCUGAUGGUGUUUGAAUUCCGCAUGUUAUUCAAACUAAAGAUUUAUCGGUAACGGAUGGGGAUGCGUGACAUUAGGUAGAUGGCGGGGUAACGGCCCACCAUGCCUACGAUGUCUAGGGGUUCUGAGGGGAAGGUCCCCCACACUGGAACUGAGACACGGUCCAGACUCCUACGGGAGGCAGCAGUGAGGAAUAUUGGUCAAUGGGCGCAAGCCUGAACCAGCCAAGUAGCGUGAAGGAUGACUGCCCUAUGGGUUGUAAACCUCUUUUGUCGGGGAAUAAACCGCGCCACGUGUGGCGCCCUGCAUGUACCCGCAGAAUAAGGACCGGCUAAUUCCGUG
This 486-nucleotide ribosomal RNA is filed under the name uncultured bacterium. Its description in RNAcentral is "bacterial SSU rRNA". It matches the Rfam family "Bacterial small subunit ribosomal RNA", at positions 28 to 507 of the family's 1533-position model. The record is from RNAcentral.